Molecule: ribosomal RNA, 751 nt
Filed under: uncultured Pseudomonas sp.
Lineage: Bacteria; Pseudomonadati; Pseudomonadota; Gammaproteobacteria; Pseudomonadales; Pseudomonadaceae
Description: bacterial SSU rRNA
Rfam family: Bacterial small subunit ribosomal RNA
Source: RNAcentral
UGCCUAGGAAUCUGCCUGGUAGUGGGGGACAACGUUUCGAAAGGAACGCUAAUACCGCAUACGUCCUACGGGAGAAAGCAGGGGACCUUCGGGCCUUGCGCUAUCAGAUGAGCCUAGGUCGGAUUAGCUAGUUGGUGAGGUAAUGGCUCACCAAGGCGACGAUCCGUAACUGGUCUGAGAGGAUGAUCAGUCACACUGGAACUGAGACACGGUCCAGACUCCUACGGGAGGCAGCAGUGGGGAAUAUUGGACAAUGGGCGAAAGCCUGAUCCAGCCAUGCCGCGUGUGUGAAGAAGGUCUUCGGAUUGUAAAGCACUUUAAGUUGGGAGGAAGGGNUGUANAUUAAUACUCUGCNNUUUUGACGUUACCGACAGAAUAAGCACCGGCUAACUCUGUGCCAGCAGCCGCGGUAAUACAGAGGGUGCAAGCGUUAAUCGGAAUUACUGGGCGUAAAGCGCGCGUAGGUGGUUCGUUAAGUUGGAUGUGAAAUCCCCGGGGCUCAACCUGGGAACUGCAUUCAAAACUGUCGAGCUAGAGUAUGGUAGAGGGUGGUGGAAUUUCCUGUGUAGCGGUGAAAUGCGUAGAUAUAGGAAGGAACACCAGUGGCGAANGCGACCACCUGGACUGAUACUGACACUGAGGUGCGAAAGCGUGGGGAGCAAACAGGAUUANAUACCCUGGUAGUCCACGCCGUAAACGAUGUCAACUAGCCGUUGGGAGCCUUGAGCUCUUAGUGGCGCAGCUAACGCAU